Molecule: ribosomal RNA, 253 nt
Filed under: uncultured Eubacteriales bacterium
Lineage: Bacteria; Bacillati; Bacillota; Clostridia; Eubacteriales
Description: uncultured Clostridiales bacterium partial 16S ribosomal RNA
Rfam family: Bacterial small subunit ribosomal RNA
Source: RNAcentral
UACGUAGGGAGCAAGCGUUAUCCGGAUUUACUGGGUGUAAAGGGAGCGUAGACGGCACUGCAAGUCUGGAGUGAAAGCCCGAGGCCCAACCACGGGACUGCUCUGGAAACUGCGGGGCUGGAGUGCAGGAGGGGUAAGCGGAAUUCCUAGUGUAGCGGUGAAAUGCGUAGAUAUAUGGAAGAACACCAGUGGCGAAAGCGGCUCUCUGGUCUGUAACUGACGCUGAGGUUCGAAAGCGUGGGUAGCAAACAGG